ACCGAGAAAGACCGCUGGGGCGUAACCCGCCAAGGAAGGGCGAGGCGCCUAAGGUCGUGGUUCGUGACUGGGGUG
RNAcentral lists this ribosomal RNA (75 nucleotides) under uncultured bacterium. RNAcentral's name for it is "partial 16S ribosomal RNA". The record is from RNAcentral.